CCAGAACUGGAACCGCCAGACCCAAAUAGACCCAGAACCGGAACCGGAUACAGCCUUACUCCUAUUCCAAGAAAACCAACCAGAAGCUCUCUCCUUUCUUCCUUCAUUAUUUUAUGGGUUGAUUCGUGUGCUGCUGCUUUUGAUCGCAGAAGGUUUUGGAUUGUAGGCUUGGAGCUACAUAAGUGAUUAUAGCUACCAGUUUCCUAAUUAAUGUACCACAGAAAAUUUCUCUAGGUAUAUCUCCAAUUACAGAAAAUUUGGUUAUGGUGUAUCCCCUCUGAAAGGAAUGUAUUCAGACUCGAGCAAACUUAGCCUGUCUUUUACAGUUAUAAGAUCUAUUCAAGCCAAUUAGUUGAUUUCCAUUAUUUUGCAUGCCCUAGAACUAGAAUGUCUUGGAGUUGGUGUACUGGCUUUUUUGACUUUAGAAGAAAAUAACGUAUUAGUUUGCCGAUAACGAAACAUAUUCAAUAUCUGUUGAAGUGGUCAG
This 487-nucleotide long non-coding RNA is filed under the name Nicotiana benthamiana. Its description in RNAcentral is "long non-coding RNA (NBEN_LNC006575)". Lineage: Eukaryota; Viridiplantae; Streptophyta; Magnoliopsida; Solanales; Solanaceae. The record is from RNAcentral.